UACAGAGACUGCAAGCGUUGUUCGGAUUCAUUGGGCGUAAAGGGUCCGUAGGCGGUCGGUUAAGUCGGAUGUGAAAUCUCACAGCCUAACUGUGAGCGGUCAUUCGAAACUAAUCGGCUAGAGGGCUGGAGAGGAGACUGGAAUUGUCGGUGUAGCGGUGAGAUGCGUAGAGAUCGACAAGAACACCGGUGGCGAAGGCGGGUCUCUGGACAGUUCCUGACGCUGAGGGACGAAAGCUAGGGGAGCAAACGGG
This 253-nucleotide ribosomal RNA is filed under the name uncultured bacterium. RNAcentral describes it as "partial 16S ribosomal RNA". It matches the Rfam family "Bacterial small subunit ribosomal RNA", at positions 524 to 776 of the family's 1533-position model. The record is from RNAcentral.